This 396-nucleotide ribosomal RNA is filed under the name uncultured bacterium. RNAcentral's name for it is "bacterial SSU rRNA". It matches the Rfam family "Bacterial small subunit ribosomal RNA", at positions 30 to 426 of the family's 1533-position model. The record is from RNAcentral.
AUUGAACGCUGGCGGCAUGCCUUACACAUGCAAGUCGAACGGCAGCACGGGAGCAAUCCUGGUGGCGAGUGGCGAACGGGUGAGUAAUAUAUCGGAACGUGCCCAGUCGUGGGGGAUAACGUAGCGAAAGCUACGCUAAUACCGCAUACGAUCUAUGGAUGAAAGCGGGGGAUCGCAAGACCUCGCGCGAUUGGAGCGGCCGAUAUCAGAUUAGGUAGUUGGUGAGGUAAAGGCUCACCAAGCCGACGAUCUGUAGCUGGUCUGAGAGGACGACCAGCCACACUGGGACUGAGACACGGCCCAGACUCCUACGGGAGGCAGCAGUGGGGAAUUUUGGACAAUGGGCGCAAGCCUGAUCCAAGCAAUGCCGCGUGCAGGAUGAAGGCCUUCGGUUGG